AUGGCCUUCCCGUCCACCCAGCUGCUCGGACAGACUCCGGGAGCAUCUGCUCCAUCCUCUCCACAUCGUCACACCUCCAUUAACACUAAUCCAGCUUGUGGCCUCUUCUCCCAAACGCAAAUAGUUACAGGUGUCUCAGCCAUGAAUCUAGGGGUGAGAAAAGAAACCUCCCCUCACCUACAAGGUCAAAGCGCAGGUAUGGGUCCUGGCAGGACCCAUCAGCAGAAUCUGGCUGGAAAACUCUCACGCUAAAAACAGCUGUGAUAUGAUGAGCAGCCCUAUGGAGAGGGUGUGUGGGAAGAACCUGAAGUCUCCAGCCAGCAGCCACAUGAAUACAUCAUCUUGGAAGCAGAUCCUCCAGCCCCAGUCCAGCCUUCAGAUGACUGCAGCCCUGGUCAACAUCUCAACUGCAGUCUCAUGAGAGACUCCAGACCAGAACCACCCUGCUGAGCCUCUUUUGGAUUCUUGACCCUCAGAAACCCUGUGAGAUCAUAAAUGCCAGUCGUUUUAAGCUGCUAAGUUUUGGGGUCAUUUGUUAGCCAGCAAGAUAACAAAUACAGAUCUGCAUGAAACAUACAAGCAGAAGGAAGUAGGCAGUCAGGUCUACAAGUCUGAAAUUCAGGGAAGCAGUUCAGGCUGAAAUAUAAAUUUGAGAGUUAUUAACAUAUAGGUGAUAUUAAAAGCCAUCAGGAGCAAAGGUUUCUCUUUUUAUGGAAGCUUUCUCCACUUCCCUACUCCCUCUUCUGCGCUCUGAUGUUGGCUUGCCUUUGCUGUGAGGUUGCACGGCGAUGGCUUUGCUGUGCGCCCAUCUGACCAUUAGGUUCAGACAUAACUGAGUCUUCUUUGGAUCUUCUUCUAAACUUGGUACAAACUGGAAGUGCUUAAUAAAUGCUUUUGGGAUGCUAUGAAUGCACAGGGGAGCUUAGAGGGUGAAGCGGACACUGUAAGUGUUAUGACUCUAUCCCUUUUUGCACGGUUGGGCUAACUUUCAACUGCCAGCUUUGGCCUCUCACAGCCUUGGUACCUCCAACCCCUGCAUUGGGAGGCCCCAGAAAAGCCUAGAAUGACCAUCUCCCAGAAGCAGCCCUCAGCUGAAGAUCAUCAUGAGUUGACAUAUAAACAUCUCAGCUUACCCCUUAUGUAGGUUUGGGAGUGGAUGGUUCCAGAUCCUGUGUUUUGCGUUGUUUCUCAGUUUCCUCACAGGAUGCAGCCCUAGUGCCCACUUUGGCAGUGGGCUUAGAACAGCCCUUCCCUGGCUGCCUUCCCUUCUCUGGGUCAUUUCCCUGCUCUCCUGCUGGGGCUCCCCCCAUAGCCAGUACCUCUCAAAUAAACAAUUUGUGCUCAAAUCCGCUCAGGAACUGCUUCUUAGGGAACCAAACCGUGAUUAUGGAGAGGCAGAGCGUGGAUAUGUGGAG
Molecule: long non-coding RNA, 1415 nt
Filed under: Homo sapiens (human)
Lineage: Eukaryota; Metazoa; Chordata; Mammalia; Primates; Hominidae
Description: HSALNT0245077
Source: RNAcentral